RNAcentral lists this ribosomal RNA (739 nucleotides) under uncultured bacterium. RNAcentral describes it as "bacterial SSU rRNA". It matches the Rfam family "Bacterial small subunit ribosomal RNA", at positions 8 to 796 of the family's 1533-position model. The record is from RNAcentral.
AGAGUUUGAUCCUGGCUCAGAGCGAACGCUGGCGGCAGGCCUAAUACAUGCAAGUCGAGCGCCCUUCGGGGGAGCGGCGGACGGGUGAGUAACGCGUGGGAACGUGCCCUUUGGUUCGGAACAACACAGGGAAACUUGUGCUAAUACCGAAUGUGCCCUUCGGGGGAAAGAUUUAUCGCCAUUGGAGCGGCCCGCGUUGGAUUAGGUAGUUGGUGAGGUAAAGGCUCACCAAGCCUACGAUCCAUAGCUGGUCUGAGAGGAUGAUCAGCCACACUGGGACUGAGACACGGCCCAGACUCCUACGGGAGGCAGCAGUAGGGAAUCUUGCGCAAUGGGCGAAAGCCUGACGCAGCCAUGCCGCGUGAAUGAUGAAGGUCUUAGGAUUGUAAAAUUCUUUCACCGGGGAAGAUAAUGACGGUACCCGGAGAAGAAGCCCCGGCUAACUUCGUGCCAGCAGCCGCGGUAAUACGAAGGGGGCUAGCGUUGCUCGGAAUUACUGGGCGUAAAGGGCGCGUAGGCGGACAUUUAAGUUAGAGGUGAAAGCCCAGGGCUCAACCCUGGAAUAGCCUUUAAUACUGGAUGUCUUGAGUUCGGGAGAGGUGAGUGGAACUCCGAGUGUAGAGGUGAAAUUCGUAGAUAUUCGGAAGAACACCAGUGGCGAAGGCGACUCACUGGCCCGAUACUGACGCUGAGGCGCGAAAGCGUGGGGAUCAAACAGGAUUAGAUACCCUAGUAGUCC